This is a long non-coding RNA of Cucurbita maxima (winter squash), 1252 nucleotides long. RefSeq lists it as uncharacterized. The transcript has 3 exons. The record is from RefSeq and is a predicted model, not a curated record. NCBI's taxonomy places the organism in Eukaryota, Viridiplantae, Streptophyta, Magnoliopsida, Cucurbitales, Cucurbitaceae.
UGUUAGUAGUAGUAGCUUCAAAGAUUUUUAUGAUAUACAUAUGGGGUUGUGCUUGUGGAUAAUCAAGAUCUGUGUUAGUAGUAGUAGUAGCUUUAGAAGUUUUUCAUGAUAUGCAUCUGGGCUUGUGGAUAUUUUCCCUGCUGUAAAAGUUGAAACAGAUAGAUAGCUGUUAUAGGAUUGUUCCAAAGCCAAUCUUGUGAGUUUGAGUGCAACUCGCUGAAAAAGUACCCUUAUUUGUUACUUAGUUCCAGGAUGUUUAGGUUUGAAUUGUUGAUGAAUGUUGAAAUCUCAAGUGUAUCUUCUUGCAUUAAAGAAUGAUGUGUAGUACAGAUUCUUCUGGAGCUUUUGGUAAACAAGCGUGGGGGUAAAUGGUGGAUAGACAAGAUCCUCAUCUGCUGGUCAUUUGUCGCCAGGGCUGAUUGGAGAAGGCAUAAUCAAAACUUGUAGUGGAUUGGGUACAAAGAUUUGACGUUUUUGGCGGCUCCUACUUCCCCCGCCCCCCAAUCUAUUAUCCCCUUCUUCUUCACGCUCUUCAACCCGACUUCCAUGUGCCCUCAUGGCUCCCCUUUGAUUCUGUAUUGAACCACGCUUCCAUUCUCUGGGUGUUCUCUGAUGGGAAAGAAGAAAUCCCAGAAGACCAAGGAGAUUACAGUCGCCAUACCUCAAACCUCCGCCUCCAAAUCACCCGAUGACGCCGCUGCCCAAUCGAUACAGCCCAGAAAGAGGGGCCGACCUCGUAAGGUCCUCGAUGAACCACAGAACGAACAGGAUAACAAGGAACUGCCACCGCCUUCGCCUCCGCCGCCCGACGUUGUUGCAGAGAAACCACCGGAGAAGAAAGCCAAAACCACCGUGGAUGAUGAGCCACCACCGGCUUCGAAACAAGAACGCGAUCAAGAAGAACAACAAUCAGGAGAUGGUCCGAGAAGCAGAGGAAGGCGAAAGAACAAACCCAGAAAAAGUAGCUGACAAAAAUUGUUGCCAGCUAGGAAUUGUCAGAAGGGAAGAGAAGAUAUGUGGAGCCAGCUCAUGAUUUUAUGGCACGUGAGGCUCACGUGCCAAUAUUAUCUGCUAAGACCUAUUACUCAAGUUCCGCUGUUGCAUUGGCCGCGGUUUUGGUGCAGUUGAUGGUGAUGGUUUGUUUGUUCGCAGAUAAAAUGGCGUGUGAACUUCACGUUGUUUCCUGGCGCGUUGAGAGAAAUGCCGGAAGGUACUAAUAAUAAUGCAUGUCGUGGACGUAGUUGUUUGAGAA